Cornus florida is the source of this 105-nucleotide small nuclear RNA. The record is from RefSeq and is a predicted model, not a curated record. Lineage: Eukaryota; Viridiplantae; Streptophyta; Magnoliopsida; Cornales; Cornaceae.
AAUGACCUCAAAAUUAUAGGGUGAAUUGGAAUGAUAGAGAGAAGAUUAGCAUGACCCCGCACAAAAAUGACAUGGACAAAUCAUUGAGAAAUGGUCCAAAUUCAU